This 535-nucleotide ribosomal RNA is filed under the name uncultured bacterium. RNAcentral describes it as "bacterial SSU rRNA". It matches the Rfam family "Bacterial small subunit ribosomal RNA", at positions 355 to 896 of the family's 1533-position model. The record is from RNAcentral.
UAGGGAAUUUUCGGCAAUGGGGGCAACCCUGACCGAGCAACGCCGCGUGAGUGAAGACGGCCUUCGGGUUGUAAAGCUCUGUUGUAAGGGAAGAACGGUAGAUAGAGAAUAUCUAAGUGACGGUACCUUACCAGAAAGCCACGGCUAACUACGUGCCAGCAGCCGCGGUAAUACGUAGGUGGCGAGCGUUAUCCGGAAUUAUUGGGCGUAAAGGGUGCGUAGGCGGCCUGUUAAGUAAGUGGUUAAAUUGUUGGGCUCAACCCAAUCCAGCCACUUAAACUGGCAGGCUAGAGUAUUGGAGAGGCAAGUGGAAUUCCAUGUGUAGCGGUAAAAUGCGUAGAUAUAUGGAGGAACACCAGUGGCGAAGGCGGCUUGCUAGCCAAAGACUGACGCUCAUGCACGAAAGCGUGGGGAGCAAAUAGGAUUAGAUACCCUAGUAGUCCACGCCGUAACGAUGAAUACUAAGUAUUGGGGAAACUCAGUGCUGCAGCUAACGCAAUAAGUAUUCCGCCUGUGGAGUAUGCACGCAAGUGUG